CUAUACAUGACUCUGCGCAUAUCAAUAAGCGGAGGAAAAGAAACUAACAAGGAUUCCCUUAGUAACGGCGAGUGAAGCGGGAAGAGCUCAAAUUUGAAAUCUUCAAGGUUCUACCUUGACGAAUUGUAGUUUAUAGAAGUGUUUUCUGUUAGUGGAGUGGCAAAAGUUCUUUGGAAUAGGACAUCAUAGAGGGUGAGAAUCCCGUAUUUGGUCAUUCCUCCUAGCGUUGUGAUACACUUUCAACGAGUCGGAUUGUUUGGGAAUGCAGUCCGAAAUGGGUGGUAAUUUCAUCUAAAGCUAAACUAUUGGCGAGAGACCGAUAGCGAACAAGUACCGUGAGGGAAAGAUGAAAAGAACUUUGAAAAGAGAGUUAAACAGUACGUGAAAUUGUCAAAAGGGAAGCGUUUGACACCAGUGUUGUUUUUCCGAAAAUCAAUUACGAAUGUUUUAUUUUUGAGAAGUUAUGACUUCAUCGGCUUGCUUCUCUCUUUAUGAAACUUUCUUAAUGCACUUUUCGGCUAACAAGUCAACAUCAAUUUCUUUUGCUGUAAAAGAGUCAUUGGAAGGUGGCUUUCUUUUCGGAGAAAGUGUUUAUUGCCUUUGACUUCUGCAGUCGGAGAGAUUGAGGUCUGCAGCGUAGAUCCUUCGGGGUUAGAUACAUUUGUGCUAAGCUAUAGCCUUUCAUAGACAACUUGUUGACUAUGAUCAGUCAUGUAGCUUACUCGCUUAUGCUAUUUUACCUACGCUUAGGAUGUUGACACACGCGCGUGCUC
Molecule: ribosomal RNA, 773 nt
Filed under: uncultured Neocallimastigales
Lineage: Eukaryota; Fungi; Neocallimastigomycota; Neocallimastigomycetes; Neocallimastigales
Description: partial large subunit ribosomal RNA
Rfam family: Eukaryotic large subunit ribosomal RNA
Source: RNAcentral